RNAcentral lists this ribosomal RNA (492 nucleotides) under uncultured bacterium. RNAcentral describes it as "partial 16S ribosomal RNA". It matches the Rfam family "Bacterial small subunit ribosomal RNA", at positions 30 to 507 of the family's 1533-position model. The record is from RNAcentral.
AUUGAACGCUGGCGGCAGGCCUAACACAUGCAAGUCGAGCGGAUGAAGGGUGCUUGCUCCUGGAUUCAGCGGCGGACGGGCGAGUAAGGCCUAGGAACCUCCCUGUCUGUGUGGGCUAAGGUCCGGAAACGGGCGCAAAUACCCUAAACGCCCUUAGGAACAACGUGGGGAAUCUUCGGACCUCCCGCCCUCGGGCGAUCCAAUGUCGCUAUGUCGGAUUAGCUAGUUGGUGGGGUAAAGGCCCACCAAGGCGACGAUCCGUAGCUGGUCUGAGAGGAUGAUCAGCCACACUGGAACUGAGACACGGUCCAGACUCCUACGGGAGGCAGCAGUGGGGAAUAUUGGACAAUGGGCGAAAGCCUGAUCCAGCCAUGCCGCGUGUGUGAAGAAGGUCUUCGGAUUGUAAAGCACUUUAAGUUGGGAGGAAGGGCAGUAAGUUAAUACCUUGCUGUUUUGACGUUACCAACAGAAUAAGCACCGGCUAACUUCGUG